AUGGAGACCCCGCCGCCGCCGCCGCGCUGGCCGCCGGGCUUCCGCUUCAGCCCCACCGACGAGGAGCUCGUCCUCUUCUUCCUCAAGCGCCGGGUCGCCGCCGGCCGCCCCUCCCCCUACAUCGCCGACGUCGACGUCUACAAGUCCCACCCCUCCCACCUCCCCGAGAGGUCGGCGCUGCGGACGGGGGACAAGCAGUGGUUCUUCUGCAGCCGGCUGGACCGCAAGUACCCCAACGGCUCGCGCGCCAGCCGCACCACCGCCGACGGCUACUGGAAGGCCACGGGCAAGGACCGCUCCAUCUGCAACGCCGGCCGCGCCGUGGGGAACAAGAAGACGCUCGUCUACCACCACGGCCGCGCGCCGCGCGGGGAGCGCACCGACUGGGUCAUGCACGAGUACACCAUCCUCGCCGACGCGCUCCCGCCGCCCGCACGGUGCCGCGAGUCCUACGCCCUCUACAAGCUCUUCGAGAAGAGCGGGGUCGGCCCCAAGAACGGCGAGCAGUACGGCGCGCCCUUCCGGGAGGAGGACUGGCUGGACGACGACGACGACUGCGAGCUGCCCUCUGAUCCCAUCCCUAUCGCCGUCAGUCUACCUAGAGCCGUGACAGUGGACGAGCAGAUUGGGGAUGUUUUGACAGUUGUCGAGCAGAUUGGGGGUGUGACAGUGGACAAGCAGAUUGGGGUUAUGACAGUGGACGACCAGCUUGGGGAUCUUGAGGUGUUCCUGUUGCAAAAUGGAGAUGAUCUGGGAAACAGUGAACCACAGUCGGAUUUCUCGACACCGGUUUCUUCACAGGCUCCGCUUCAGCAUGGCCAUCCUCAAGGUCGGCCCAGCGAUGAUGGUAACAUAUCUGAGGUCGCAGAUGCUACAACCAGCAGCCGUGGUAUGGUAAUGGCGGUGAAUACGUGCACUGAACUCCCUUUUGGGGAUCUUGAGGGGCUACUGAUGGAAAUAUCGGAUGAUCAACGGGCCACUGAAUCGUUCGAAGAAUUCUCAGAAUUCAUUCCCCAACUGCAGCUUCAGCAUGAUGAUCAUGAGCAUGAGGCUUGGCCCAAUGCCAACAUGGAGGAGAUUAGUGUUGCGGAUUAUGCCACUAGUAAUGGCGUUGUGGACGCUUCAGGAUGUACUGUCACCGAGCUUCCCUAUGAGGAUAUUGAAGGGCUUCUGUUGCAAUUAGAGAAUGACCAGGGAAAUGUCCAACCACUGGCAGAUUUCUCCACACCAGUUCCUCGUCAUGAGUUCCAUCAGGUUGGCUCUGGAGAUUUCCAUGGAUGUCACGGUGCUACAUUCAACUCUGUAGAUCCUUCUUCUGCAGUGCAAGAAAACAGAGAUCUUGAUCCACGAUCGGAGCCCAGUAAUCAAAUUACACAGUCUGCCCUCACCAACAUGCCAUUGAAUUGGGAAACAGAUUGCACUGAAGAAACAAGUGCGCUGCGAUCUGUGUCAGGGUUGGCCAGUUAUGACGGUCAGGAUGCUGAGGAGGAGUUCCUUGAAAUCAACGAUUUCUUGGAUCCAGAAGAUGUAGGACAGACUGGAGUGGCGACUGAAAACCAGUUUGGUUAUCUUGGUGAUAGUGGAUCCCAGAACCAGGGAUUCCAGUAUACAUCUGAAUCGUGGACGCACAACCAGGUCGCUCUGAAUGUGCGGAACCACAUGAAUCAUAACCAUGUUGUCUUCUCACAUGCAUCAGGCACUGCGAAUUUCCACACGGUGAAUGAGCAACCACAUAACCUGAGUCCAGCGGAUUCGCAGUCAUGGUUCAAUUCAGCUGUGUCAGCCCUGCUGGAUGCGGUACCUGCCAAUCCAGCUCUGGCGGCUGAAAACAAUGUUCUCAACAGAACACUCCAACGCAUUUCUAGCUUUAGGUCAGAACAAGCUCCGAAGGAAGAAGCAAGCGCCCCAGUUAUCCAGGUUAGAAGAAGGGGCGCAGGGCUGAUCUCGGUCUCGCUACUGGUUUUGCUUGCUGCCAUCAUGUGGACCUUUGCUGCUGGCACCGGGUACGCAAUCAAGUUCUGCAAGGGGUUAUGGAAGUCCUCCUCUACAUGA
This 2052-nucleotide ribosomal RNA is filed under the name Triticum aestivum (bread wheat). RNAcentral describes it as "partial small subunit ribosomal RNA". The record is from RNAcentral. Lineage: Eukaryota; Viridiplantae; Streptophyta; Magnoliopsida; Poales; Poaceae.